Molecule: long non-coding RNA, 7546 nt
Filed under: Lactuca sativa (garden lettuce)
Lineage: Eukaryota; Viridiplantae; Streptophyta; Magnoliopsida; Asterales; Asteraceae
Description: long non-coding RNA (LSAT_LNC003777)
Source: RNAcentral
UAGGAAUAUAACCUUGGAAUUCAACUUUGCAUGAUAAUUAGACAAACAUAGAUCCAAGGUUAUUAGGGUUGCAUGUACACUUAGGAAGUGUUAGAAUGCUCAAAACCCAUCAGUGGUAUCAGAGCCUAGGCUUGUUUGUUUGUUAUUUGUGCUUAAAAGUUGAAGAAAGUCGAAAAUUCUGCUGUCUGACUGAUGGACUCGGCGAGUCCAUGGGGAGGACUCGUCGAGUUCAUGUGUAUCUUCAACCUACUCGGCGAGUAGGUUUAUGCACUCGGCGAGUAGGGUCGACAGAGUGCAGAAUUUCGACUUGAGUUGCUGGAAAUGGAUUAGAAUCAUUACCCUAAAAUGUUUUGGUACUUGAAAACUUAUUUUAGAAGGUGUAAUGUCUUUUCUAACUCAUUUACAACAACUAGUUAUCAAAAUUACAAAGAUUAAAUGUGAUUUUGAUUCUUGAAAGUGUUCAUAUUCAUAUUCUUGUUCUUAUGAUGUUUAGAUGAUCAUAGGAAUUAUUUGUAACCUAUGUGGUAGAUUAAUUCAUGAUCAUAAUGUGUUUUAAUGGAGUCCAUAACUUGUCCUCAAGUUAUGGAAAACCAAAAGUCUCUUGGAUUAAAAACCAUUAAAAGAACACAAGAGUUAGGAAAAAUGAAAAGUCCUCAUUUUAUUACUCUAUUAAACUCAUAAGUUACAAGAAAUGAAAAGUUUUGAAAGUUUACAAAACUUGCCCUCAAGUUUUGGAACAAGUAAAGUUAAGUUAAAACUUUAGUUCCAACCCCUAGAAUUUUAAAAGUUAAAAUUCAACCCUUAUACUUAUAUUAUUAUGAUUUAAUAAUUAUAUAUAUAUGUAUAAGAACAAAGUCGUCUUACCGCUAGUACGCCUCAUUCACGAAGCCGGUCUAUAAGGUGGGUAUAAGGUUGUUGCCUAUAAAAUGGUGACUUAAUGGGUGUCCACUCUCACCCACCGCUUGCUUGAUCGGUGGAGGGUCGUUAGCCGAACGGGUAAGACAAGGACUUAUUAAUUCUCAUUCAAAGUAUGAUGAAUAUUAUAAAGUAACUAAAUGUUUUAUUAAAUUCCCAAUCUUAGUUACUUUAGGAAAAAUGUGAAUAAGGUGCUAUUCCAUGAAAUUACACUUUACACUUUGAUUAAGUCGUUGGUGGAGCGUGUGUGGUUAACCGGCACACUAACUUGGACUUAACAAGGUAGGUAAAGGGUGACUUAGGGUUUAUUAUAGUAUCGAUGGAGCGUGUGUGGUUAACCGGCACAUCGAUUGAGUGAUAAACUUUAAGGGUACCAAGUGAUUUGCAUGGUUACUUCACACCUCGUUUUGUGAUCCUCGGUAUCCCAGUCACAAAACUUGGAGGGCACACUCGAGAUUGAAACAUGCCUUUGAAAAGUUCAUUGAAUCUCAAAGAAUCUAGGAAUUUCUAAGAACCAUUCAAAAACCUAAUACUAAAAUAUUGCGGUUUUCGUGGUGGAAAUUGGUGAAUCGUCAUUCACCUACCUUUCAAAUAUGAUAUAGCUUAGAUUACGGCAUACCUCUUCUAAGUUAUAUUAUAUUGUGAUUGGAUCCUAGCCUUAAUAUUACAUUUGGGUGUUUUAUUAAGGACUCUCUUAUAUCUAAACUAAUCUUGUCCUCUUUCCUUCAGAUGUCUUUCAACAAUGCUUCUGGCUCUAAUCCUAAUGGCUCCUUUACCCUUAUGAACUUGUGUGGGAAAGUCACCUUUGAUGGAUCCAACUUCAAUGAGUGGAUCAGAAACAUCAGGAUGAUUACCCGCUACGAGGACAAAGAAUAUGUCCUUGACAAGGAGCUUAAGGAGAUUGAUGAGUCCACUGCAACUCCUCAGGAGAUCGCUGAAUUUCGGGCACAUGAAAGGGAUGCUACGAAAGUGGCUUGCAUCAUGAUGGCCACGAUGACAGCGGAACUCCAAAAGUCUUAUGAGGAUUUCUACCCUUAUGACAUGCACCAAGAUUUGAUGGAAAGAUACCAUCAAAGUGCAAGACAAGAGAGGUAUGAAAUCAUCUGCUCCAUGAUAACAACCAUGAUGAAGGACGGGGAAUCCGUCACGAGCCACAUGCAGAAAAUGCAAAGGUAUGUGGAUCGUUUGCUGAAGCUUAAUGUGAACUUCCCGGAGGAUCUUGCAAUAGAUAUUAUUUUGCAUUCCUUACCAUCGUGCUAUGAUCAAUUCCGCAUGACAUAUCACAUGAACAAGGAAGAAGUCACCCUCAGCAAACUUCAGGGACUUCUCAAGACCGCAGAAACAGGUCUUAAGGGGAAGUCGGUUGCUAUCACUCCUACUCAAAACUCUACUCCGGUUUUGGCAAUCGGGAAAAGUCGAGGGAGGAAGAGAAAGAGCUCUUCUAAGGGUACCAAGGCUCGGACCCUUGAUGGCUCUUCUUCAAGUGGAACCAAGAAAGGUUUCGUUACUCCUUCUUCUGACCCAAAAGAGGCUGAAUGCUUCUAUUGCCAUGAAAAAGCUCAUUGGAAGCGGAACUGCCCAAAAUACCAGCAAGAUGUGAAGGAUGGGAAAGUUAAACCCAACCAUGCAGGUAUUUACACUAUCAUUUCUAAUAACUCACCCCAUUCUAAUUCUUGGGUCCUUGAUACCGGGUGUGGUAUUCACAUUUGUUGUGACUUGCAGGGACUAAGAAGAAGUGAGGAUGUGGAGCAAGGAAGGAUAAACUUGAUCAUGGGGAAUAGGAAAGCUAUACCUGUUACCAAGAUUGGAGUUUAUACUUUAUCGCUAAGUAGUGGGUUUAGUUUAGAUUUGAAUAAGUGUUGUUAUUCGCCAGGAAUGGCAAGAAAUAUUAUUUCCUUUCAUGCUUUGUACAAACAAGGGUUUACCUUUUCAUUUAAUAAUGAAGUUGGUUCUAUAGAUGUUUUCUAUAAUAAUGUCUUUUAUUUUAAAGCAUUACCUUGUGAUGGUGUGUAUGAAGCUGUAUCUGUUGUAGAUAACUUGGGAAAUAAUGUUUUGUGUAUUGAUUCUACUAAUAAUAACUUGGAUAAAGCAUCUUUAUGGCAUUGUCGUCUUGGACAUAUAAGCAAGAAACGCAUAGGCCAACUCCAAAAGGAUGGAGUCUUGGAGUCGUUUGACCUAAAGUCAGAUGAUAGUUGCGAAUCAUGCUUACUUGGAAAAAUGACAAAGUCACCCUUCACAGGUUCGUGUGAGAGGGGUGAAGGUUUGUUGGACCUUAUACACACGGAUGUGUGUGGACCAUUCAAACAUGCCACAAGGGAUGCUAAUCGUUAUUAUUUGACUUUUACUGAUGAUUAUAGUAGAUAUGGAUAUGUCUACUUGAUCAAGCAUAAGUCAGAGACUUUCGAGAGGUUUAAGGAAUUUAAACAGGAAGUCGAGAAUCAAUUGGGCAGGAACAUUAAGAUGCUUCGAUCCGAUCGUGGUGGUGAGUAUCUUAGUUCAGAGUUCCUCGACUAUCUAAGGGAAUGUGGGAUAGUCUCACAAUUGACACCUCCCAGGACACCACAGUUGAAUGGUGUGGCUGAGAGGCGUAAUCGAACCUUGUUAGAUAUGGUUCGUUCCAUGAUGAGUCGAGCUACGCUACCAAUCUCAUUCUGGGGGUAUGCCUUAGAGACUGCCGCCCAUAUUCUUAAUCUAGUCCCUACAAAGAAAGUUGCCAAAACUCCUCACGAGAUGUGGACUGGUAAAGUACCUAAACUAGACCACAUCAAGAUUUGGGGUUGCGAGGCUUUCGUGAGACGCGAGACUCAUGAUAAGCUCGAACCUCGAAGCGAGAGGUGUAUUUUCAUCGGUUACCCACAGCGAUCCUUUGGUUACCUCUUCUACAGACCUAGUGACAAUGUGGUCUUUGUAGCAAGAAGAGGAGUCUUUCGAGAAAGAGAGUUUAUAAGCCAAGGAGACAGUGGGAGGCAAAUUGAUCUUGAAGAAAUUCAAGAAUCAAGCGGUGAAGGAACUUCAAACUCUAGCCCUCAACUUGAGGAGGAAACUCCUGUUGAGCCAAUUGACAAAUCUGUACCUCUGAGACGUUCCACGAGAGUUAGGAGUGCACCUGAGCAUUACUAUGGAUUCCAUAUUACUGCAGAAGGUGAGACACUUAUUAGUGAUGAGACACUAGUAAGUCAAGAUGACCCUAACAGCUACGAGGAAGCCAUGGCAGGCCCCGAGUCUGCUAAAUGGAAAGAGGCUAUGGAUAGCGAGAUACAAUCCAUGUAUGACAAUCAAGUUUGGAACUUGGUUGAAAAUGUACCAGGUCGUAAGACAGUAGGGUGCAAAUGGGUCUUCAAGAAGAAGACCGACAUGGAUGGUAAAGUACACACUUAUAAGGCUAGACUGGUUGCAAAGGGCUUCUCUCAAAUUCCUGGAGUGGAUUAUGAUGAGACCUUUUCUCCGGUAGCCAAGAUUAAGUCUAUUCGGGUUCUGUUAGCCAUAGCUGCAUUUCAUGACUAUGAAAUAUGGCAGAUGGAUGUCAAAACCGCUUUCCUUAAUGGAAAGUUGGCUGAAGAUGUUUACAUGAGUCAGCCAGAGGGUUUUGUCAGCAACGAGUACCCUAAUAGAGUGUGUAAGCUUGAGAAAUCCAUUUAUGGAUUGAAGCAAGCACCUCGCAGAUGGAAUCUUUGCUUUGAUGAAAAGGUCAAGGAAUUUGGCUUUUCUAGGAGUGAAGAUGAAUCUUGUGUGUAUGUCAAGGCUAGUGGGAGUAUAGUUAGCUUUUUGGUAUUGUAUGUGGAUGACAUACUACUCAUAGGAAACGACAUUCCAACCCUGCAGGAAGUAAAGUCCUGGCUUGGGAAGUGUUUCGCUAUGAAGGACCUUGGUGAAGCUGCCUAUAUUCUAGGGAUAAGAAUCUUGAGAGAUCGGAGUAAAAGACUAAUUGGACUUAGUCAGAGUACCUACUUGGAUAAGGUGCUGAAGAGAUUCAGCAUGCAGGAUUCCAAGAAAGGAGAGUUACCCAUCCAGAGUAACACCAGAUUGAGUAAGACACAAAGCCCUAGCACUGAGGCUGAGAUAGCAGAAAUGAGUCGAACACCUUACGCUUCGGCUGUAGGAUCGAUCAUGUAUGCUAUGACGUGUACUCGACCCGAUGUAGCUUUUGCCUUGAGCAUGGUUAGCAGGUAUCAGGCGAACCCUGGCAAGGCACACUGGACUGCGGUAAAGAAUAUCCUCAAGUACCUACGGAGGACUAAGGACUGGGUCCUUACCCUCGGUGGGAGUGAUGACUUGAGAGUUGUAGGGUAUAGUGAUGCUAGCUUCCAGACUGAUAGGGAUAAUUUCCGCUCUCAGUCGGGCUGGGUCUUUACCCUAAACGGAGGAGCAAUUUCUUGGAAGAGUUCCAAGCAAGAGACAGUGGCAGAUUCUACUUGUGAAUCAGAGUAUAUUGCAGCUAGUGAAGCAGCAAAGGAGGCGAUAUGGCUGAAGAACUUCAUUGGAGACCUUGGAGUUGUACCAGCUAUUAAAGAGCCAAUGGAAAUUUUCUGUGAUAGUGAAAGUGCUGUUGCCUUAGCCAAGGAACCAAGGGAUCAUGGGAGAUCCAGACACAUCGACAGAAAAUACCAUUUCAUUAGACAUCGGAUCGAAGAAGGACUCCUCGUGGCAAAGAGGGUAUCAUCGGAUGAGAACCCAGCAGAUCCCCUCACGAAGGGACUGAGUAGGGUUAAGCAUCUCCAGCAUGCUCGGAGCAUAGGGCUGAAGGAUGAUAUAAGUUUUAGUAGUUAGAUAACCCAGAAAUUUGUAAAGUGUAAUUGACAUUUGAUGAUGAAUAAAAGGUGUUUUAUUUAUGAGUAAAGUGUUGCUAUCUCUUGUCGAUCGUUUACUAUAUUUCUUUUGCAUGUUUUGACUUCCAGAAUAAUUUUGUUUGGUAUAACAUAUUAUUCAAACCUCCACAGUCGGUCAUAUGUCGGAAGUAGGUAUGAAUCAAGACUGUCAUGAUGGGUUGUAGAGGUCUAAGGUGUUGGACAAGGCUACAACAAUCAUGAGUGCUCAUAAGUUCUGAGCAUUGGACUCAACCCACGCUCACUGGAAUCACUUCAUGGAAUUCUAUCUCGAGUGAUCGUGAGACGGUAAUAUCAUAUAAGUCUUCAAACCUAGAGAUAUGAUUUGUUACUUACAAGUUGGUUAUGCAUUGACUGUACGAAACCGCAUUGGUAACUCGAUGUUAUAAAACGUACUUUUGUGUGUAAUUCAAUGAGUGGUAGAACAAACAUAUGAGUCGAAGUUUAUCUGUUCCUUCUUGGAUUAGAAGCUGAUAUCUGGGCCCCUCGAUGAUUUUGUUUUGACCCAUGUACCGGGCCCGGUCAGAACUAAGUUGAUGUGUUCAAUUAAGUUCUAUGUCAAACAAAUCGGAAAUCGGGAAACAAAUGCUGGACAAUAAGCAAGACAAUGUUCCAUGUAUUUGUCCGGCUGAUAUCUAGAACGGAGGAUUAUAUGAUCACUUAUCUUAAAUGGCGUACCAUCAUCUUCUCAGUUCCGAGAGACCUUGAAAGAGCUACGAUUGCCGGUCGGUUCCUGAAGUACUAGAGAUAUAGUUAUUAGACUUAUCCAAGUGGGAGACUGUUGGAUAAGGUGUCUAAGUCCAUAACUAUUUCGGGUGUGUACUUGACCCGACCCGGCAUGGUCCAUUUGGGUUGCAUGGCACCAUGCAAUUGGAUAGACUAAAUGAGAGAAAUAACACUUGGAGAUUAUUAAUAUAUUAUAAGUUCUAAUAUAUUAAUAAUAUUAUUUGAUUAGUUUGAUCAAAGAAUUAAUUUGGAAUUAAUUAAGUGAUCAAAGGAUAACUAAUUAAAUAUAUGGGUUAAUUAUGUAAAUCAUUCAUAUCUUGUAUAGUGGGCUAAGAGGCUCCAUGGAUUAUCAAGUUGGGUUCUACCCAUAGGAUGCUCCAUGGAUGCUCCAUGGGAGUUACAAACCCAUGGGUCAUGGAAAUGAAGAGUCAUGACACAUUAGGGUUUACAUGGUGUAACCCUAGAUGUGUCAACACUAUAUAAGGAUCCCAUUCUCCACCAAAAUCGGCUAGACAUAAGAAACUAGAGGGCUUGGCCGAUUUUAAGAAGUGUGUAUUAUCUCAAAGGUCUUUCCAAGAGCAUUUGGUGUUGUGUGAAGCAUUUGAGGCAUCACACUUGGGGUGCUAGGCUCACAAGGUUCAAGGAACAUAGGCAACAACAAGGUAAGUUAUUCUAUCUUUCAUUCAAGUUAAAAUUAUUCCCCAUGUAUGCUAGAUAGGAAUAUAACCUUGGAAAUUCAACUUUGCAUGAUAAUUAGACAAACAUAGAUCCAAGGAUAUUAGGGUUGCAUGUACACUUAGGAAGUGUUAGAAUGCUCAAAACCCAUCAGGUUACACCCUAAAUGAUGAGUUCAAGGUGCUCUAAGUCCAGUUUGGUAAGCCCCUAAGUCAUAUCUAGGCUCCAAAUGUGGUUUGGAAGGGUUUUAAGGCUCAAAACCCCAUUUGCAUGUGUUCACGGCCUAAGGUUGUUCUAGGGCCAUAAACACAUGUUUGUGGUCCUAUUCCAUGAUUUGAAAACGAAAUUGAAGGCUAAAUAUGUUAUACUAUGAGCUAGGAUUGUUACCUUGAUGAUUUGGAGCUUUA